RNAcentral lists this ribosomal RNA (323 nucleotides) under uncultured bacterium. RNAcentral describes it as "bacterial SSU rRNA". It matches the Rfam family "Bacterial small subunit ribosomal RNA", at positions 390 to 706 of the family's 1533-position model. The record is from RNAcentral.
AGCCUGCCGCGUGUGUGAAGAAGGCCUUCGGGUUGUAAAGCACUUUCAGCGGGGAGGAAGGCGAUGAGGUUAAUAACCUUGUCGAUUGACGUUACCCGCAGAAGAAGCACCGGCUAACUCCGUGCCAGCAGCCGCGGUAAUACGGAGGGUGCAAGCGUUAAUCGGAAUUACUGGGCGUAAAGCGCACGCAGGCGGUCUGUCAAGUCGGAUGUGAAAUCCCCGGGCUCAACCUGGGAACUGCAUUCGAAACUGGCAGGCUUGAGUCUUGUAGAGGGGGGUAGAAUUCCAGGUGUAGCGGUGAAAUGCGUAGAGAUCUGGAGGAA